AUGGCUACCCUCCACAUGUUCCUCGGCCUCCUCCUCCUCUCCAUGCACACCAUUCCUCCUAGCAUAGCCACAAAAGACGAUACUCUCGCGCCAGGCCAGCCAUUUGCCGUCGGCGACAAGCUCGUCUCCAGCAACGGCAAGUUCGCGCUUGGCUUCUUCCAGCCCAGUGCCGGCAACACCAGCAAGUCAUCCACCUCUCCACAUUGGUACCUUGCCAUAUGGUUCAACAAGAUCCAUGUCAUCACUCCCGUUUGGGUCGCCAACCGGGAGACGCCAAUCGCCGGACCCGAUCUGAGAGCAACGCAGCUUCAAGUCUCAGAAGAUGGCAACCUUGUCGUUUUAAACAACGCCACCCAAUCCGUUGUCUGGUCCACCAACAUCACCAAUACAAGAACCAACACCAACAUCUCCAAUGCUAGAACCAACACCAGCAACACGAGGGCCAUCCUCUUGGGCAGUGGGAACCUCGUCAUAGAAAGCCUGUCAAGCGAGGUGCUGUGGCAGAGCUUCGACGACCCAACCGACGUCCUGCUCCCAGGCGCCAAGAUCGGCUGGAACAAGGUCACCGGCCUGAACCGUCUCGGCAUCUCGUGGAAGAGCCGGAUUGAUCCGGGCCUCGGCUCCUUCAGCGUGGGGCUGGUAACCAAUGGCACCAGGAUGGUGACGGCCAGGCGUCGAGGCUACCCUUCCGAAGUGUACUGGUGGUGGUCGCCUGACGACCACUCGUCGAUGCAGAUCCCAGCAAUCACGAAGCUGCUGCAAAUGAGCCCACAGACCAGCAUGGUCGUCCCAGAAUACGUCAACAACAGGGAGGAGGAGUACUACAUGUACACCUCACCAGAUGAGAUCUCUUCGUUCCUCUUCAUGGACGUGUUUGGUCAGGCCAGGCUGAACGUGUGGUCGCAAGACAACCAGGCAUGGCAUAGCAUCUACGUCAACCCAGCCGAUCCCUGCACCCCAUACGCCGCCUGCGGACCGUUCACCGUCUGCACCGGCAGCUCGCACCCGCCAUGCGAGUGCGUGGAGAGCUUCUCCAGAACGUCGCCUCAGGAUUGGGAGCUCGGUGACCGGACAGGAGGGUGCUCCAGAAACACUCCGCUGGAUUGCAAUGGCAACAGGAGUUCCACAGACGUGUUCCACCCCAUAGCUCGUGUGGCAUUGCCCUAUGGUCCCCAGAGUUUACAGCAUGCUCCUGCAAAUCGGAGCGAAUGCGAAUGGGCCUGCCUCACCAACUGCUCCUGCACUGCUUACUCCUACCAUGACAGCAAAUGCUCUGUUUGGCAAGGGGAGUUGUUCAGUGUAAACAAGGAUGAUGGCAUCGAGAUCAGCUCUGAAUAUACUCUGUAUAUUCGCCUUGCUGCCGGAGAUGUUCCGAGUUCAACAAGAGAUGGUAAAAGAAAACCAGCAGCUGGAGCUGUUAUUGCUGCAAGCGUUAUCAGUUUUGGGUUGCUGAUGCUCAUGCUGCUACUGGUGAUCUUAAGGAACAGAUUCAACUGGUGUGGUAUGUCAUCACAGGACACCAAUCAAGGUAGUGUUGGAGUUGUUGCCUUUAGAUACGCCGAUUUGGGCCGUGCUACAAAGAAUUUCUCAGUGAAGCUAGGAGCAGGAGGUUUUGGGACUGUAUUUAAGGGAGUUCUAAGUGACCUGACUAGUGUAGCAGUGAAAAGGCUUGAAGGUGCGCGUCAGGGAGAGAAGCAAUUCAGGGCAGAGGUAAGUGCACUUGGACUGAUCCAGCACAUCAACCUGGUCAAAUUGGUUGGUUUCUGUUGUCAUGGUGAUAAGAGGCUACUUGUAUAUGAACACAUGUGCAAUGGUUCUCUUGAUUCCCAUCUGUUCCAAAGCAAUGGUAUAGUCCUCAACUGGAGCACCAGAUAUCAGAUAGCCAUCGGAGUUGCUAGAGGAUUGUCCUACCUGCAUCAGAGUUGCCGCGAAUGCAUCAUACACUGCGAUAUCAAGCCAGAAAAUGUACUUCUCGAUGAAUCGUUUGUCCCUAAAAUUGCAGACUUUGGGUUGGCAUCGGUCAUAGGAAGGGAUUUUAGCCGGGUUCUAACUACAUUCAGGGGAACUACAGGGUAUCUUGCCCCAGAGUGGCUUAGCGGGGUUGCUAUUACAUCAAAAGUCGAUGUUUACAGCUUUGGCAUGGUACUGAUAGAAAUCAUAUCGGGAAGAAGGAAUGCGUCUGUUGUGAACACUAGCAGCAACGACCAUGUCACUUUUUUCCCUGUGCAAGCCAUCAACAAGCUUCAUGAGGGAGAUGUGCAGAGCUUGGUAGAUCCAGAAUUACAUGGUGACUUUAACUUGGAUGAGGUUGAAAGAGUUUGCAAUGUAGCAUGUUGGUGUAUCCAGGAUAAUGAGCUGGAGCGGCCAACAAUGGGUGAAGUGGUCAGAGUUCUUGAGGGUCUAAUGGAGCUUGAUAUGCCUCCGAUGCCAAGACUGCUUGCGGCUAUAACAACAUAA
This 2457-nucleotide ribosomal RNA is filed under the name Triticum aestivum (bread wheat). RNAcentral describes it as "partial small subunit ribosomal RNA". Lineage: Eukaryota; Viridiplantae; Streptophyta; Magnoliopsida; Poales; Poaceae. The record is from RNAcentral.